RNAcentral lists this ribosomal RNA (300 nucleotides) under uncultured Bacillus sp. Its description in RNAcentral is "bacterial SSU rRNA". It matches the Rfam family "Bacterial small subunit ribosomal RNA", at positions 496 to 795 of the family's 1533-position model. Lineage: Bacteria; Bacillati; Bacillota; Bacilli; Caryophanales; Bacillaceae. The record is from RNAcentral.
GCUAACUACGUGCCAGCAGCCGCGGUAAUACGUAGGUGGCAAGCGUUAUCCGGAAUUAUUGGGCGUAAAGCGCGCGCAGGCGGUCUUUUAAGUCUGAUGUGAAAGCCCACGGCUCAACCGUGGAGGGUCAUUGGAAACUGGAGGACUUGAGUACAGAAGAGGAGAGCGGAAUUCCACGUGUAGCGGUGAAAUGCGUAGAUAUGUGGAGGAACACCAGUGGCGAAGGCGGCUCUCUGGUCUGUGACUGACGCUGAGGCGCGAAAGCGUGGGUAGCAAACAGGAUUAGAUACCCCAGUAGUC